UUAACAUCUUAGUGAAGAAAAAGGAAUCUGUAUCUCUGAAGUAUUUUCUCUUAUUCAUUAGCGGUAGGGUCCCAGAGGGGAAUGCUCACUAUCUGCUUUUAUUCUAUUUCUUGCUAGCAAAAGAAAAAACAACAUAUAUGGCCAUGGCAUAUGAGCUAUAAGAACACAGAUAAAGUGGAUACUUUAUAGGAAUGGCUUCUACACAAAAUACUAGAAGUCAAGAGAUUCUCUUCAAGAAGUCUAUUCUCAACUCUGCCUCAAAUAUCGAGUGACAAAUCACAAUCUCUGUUUGAAAUCAAUGGGAGCUAUAGGUAUCGCCCCCCUGAAAAUCAGGCCAUGGGAGAUGAUGAAAGCAUGAAUAACUGAGGCCAGGUCAUUAUCCAUCAAGAAAGGAUGUGGUCUCCUAAGAAAGCAUUACUUGGAGAUGCAGAUAUGUGAGAUGUCAGUCAAUGAGGAACCCAGGGGCACUCCUGAACUACAGUCUGAAUUGAUGGAUUGUGGGCAUGUACCUUCAACCAAAGGAAAGUGAACCAUGGCUACGAACUCUUCAUAGUACUUUCCUCUGCCAACCAGCAUCACCUGUGUCUUGUUUGGGUUUAACUUCAACUGGCUGUUCUUCAUCCAUGAGCCGAUAUUCUACAAGCACUGGGUCAUCUUGGUGGUAGUGGGAUGGUUACGAGUGGUGAAGGAUACGUAGAACUUUGUCAUCCUUAGGUUGUUGGCACUUGAGUCCAUAUUUGUCUGACCAGUUCACAUAGUGGCUGCAUGUAGAUAUUGAAUAGAACUGGAGAAAGAAUUGAUGCUUGUCUGGCAGGCAGACUUUUGUUUUAUGGGAGUGAGACAGAGCUCACUGUAUAACAUUCGUUUCAGGAGAGUAUGCCCAAAAAACUGCAUAAAAAUGCUUUGAAAUCUGAAAAAAAAAAAUCUGGAAUCCAGCAAAUAUCUAAAGACUUCACUAAAGGUGGCUCUCCAUCUCUUCUUCCACAAAAUGGCUAUCCUAGAAGACGCAUGCUGUGUGGAUACCUCUCUGUUUAGAUGCCAUCAACU
This is a long non-coding RNA of Mauremys reevesii (Reeves's turtle), 1047 nucleotides long. RefSeq lists it as uncharacterized. The record is from RefSeq and is a predicted model, not a curated record. Lineage: Eukaryota; Metazoa; Chordata; Testudines; Geoemydidae. The transcript has 3 exons.